Molecule: long non-coding RNA, 504 nt
Filed under: Homo sapiens (human)
Lineage: Eukaryota; Metazoa; Chordata; Mammalia; Primates; Hominidae
Description: HSALNT0224361
Source: RNAcentral
GAAGGACCUGACAGCACCUUUAACAGGCCCCUGAGGGGCUGUGCUGGGCUAAAAUCGGGCCUUCCCCCAAUUCCUAAGCUCUGUGCCCUGCGAGGGCUGCAUCUGCCCCAAGGGGGCGCCCUUUCCUAAUCUUCACAAAAGAUUUGCAGGGGCCAGCAGCCGAGAUGGGGCACAGGCCCUACCAGAAGAGAGGAUGGCCUGCUACCCAGAAGCCCUUGGGGACUCCCUGGGGUUAAAGCACCUUCCCUGGUGCAGAUGUUUGUCAGCUCUCAGAGGCAGGCGGAGCCGGGAUCCCAUCCCCAGUGGCAGAUGAGAGGCCUGGAUGACCUGCGCAAGAGAUCCGUGCGUGGAGGUGCGGCCAGCAAGUCCCGGGCUAUGCUCCACGGUCGCUCCGGGGUCUGCACAUCACCUGCCCGGGUGGCAACCGGUUGAAGGCUUCCAAAUGUCCGACACCCCUCUCGAUCCUCCAAUCCCAGCUCCCCACCUGCCCAUCACCCCAUCACU